Unclassified non-coding RNA from Cercocebus atys (sooty mangabey), 102 nucleotides. It matches the Rfam family "Y RNA". From Rfam's summary of the family: Y RNAs are components of the Ro ribonucleoprotein particle (Ro RNP), in association with Ro60 and La proteins. NCBI's taxonomy places the organism in Eukaryota, Metazoa, Chordata, Mammalia, Primates, Cercopithecidae. The record is from Ensembl.
GGCUGAUCCGAGUGCAAUGGUAUUUACUACUAAUUAAUUACAACCAGUUACAGAUUUCUUUGUUCCUUCUCCACUCCCACUGCUUCACUUGACUAGCCUUAA